GUGGGGAAUCUUAGACAAUGGGCGCAAGCCUGAUCUAGCCAUGCCGCGUGAGCGAUGAAGGCCUUAGGGUUGUAAAGCUCUUUCAGUGGGGAAGAUAAUGACUGUACCCACAGAAGAAGCCCCGGCUAACUCCGUGCCAGCAGCCGCGGUAAUACGGAGGGGGCUAGCGUUGUUCGGAAUUACUGGGCGUAAAGCGCACGUAGGCGGACUGGAAAGUCAGGGGUGAAAUCCCGGGGCUCAACCCCGGAACUGCCUUUGAAACUCCCAGUCUUGAGGUCGAGAGAGGUGAGUGGAAUUCCGAGUGUAGAGGUGAAAUUCGUAGAUAUUCGGAGGAACACCAGUGGCGAAGGCGGCUCACUGGCUCGAUACUGACGCUGAGGUGCGAAAGCGUGGGGAGCAAACAGGAUUAGAAACCCGAGUAGUCC
This 425-nucleotide ribosomal RNA is filed under the name uncultured bacterium. Its description in RNAcentral is "partial 16S ribosomal RNA". It matches the Rfam family "Bacterial small subunit ribosomal RNA", at positions 354 to 796 of the family's 1533-position model. The record is from RNAcentral.